This 253-nucleotide ribosomal RNA is filed under the name uncultured bacterium. Its description in RNAcentral is "partial 16S ribosomal RNA". It matches the Rfam family "Bacterial small subunit ribosomal RNA", at positions 524 to 776 of the family's 1533-position model. The record is from RNAcentral.
UACGUAGGGGGCAAGCGUUGUCCGGAUUUAUUGGGCGUAAAGAGCGUGUAGGCGGCCAGACAGGUCCGUUGUGAAAACUCGAGGCUCAACCUCGAGACGCCGAUGGAAACCGUUUGGCUAGAGUCCGGAAGAGGCGAGUGGAAUUCCUGGUGUAGCGGUGGAAUGCGCAGAUAUCAGGAGGAACACCAAUAGCGAAGGCAGCUCGCUGGGACGGUACUGACGCUAAGGCGCGAAAGCGUGGGGAGCGAACAGG